RNAcentral lists this ribosomal RNA (370 nucleotides) under uncultured eukaryote. RNAcentral describes it as "partial 18S ribosomal RNA". It matches the Rfam family "Eukaryotic small subunit ribosomal RNA", at positions 592 to 976 of the family's 1831-position model. The record is from RNAcentral.
CAAUAGCGUAUAUUAAAGUUGUUGCAGUUAAAAAGCUCGUAGUUGGACCUUGGACCUGGACAGGCGGUCCGCCUAACGGCGUGUACUGUCUUGCUGGGUCUUUCCUCUUGGUGAUCUGUUGUUUCGGCAGCAGGGAACCAGGACUUUUACUUUGAAAAAAUUAGAGUGUUCAAAGCAGGCUCGACGCCGGAAUAUAUUAGCAUGGAAUAAUAAAAUAGGACGUGCGGUUCUAUUUUGUUGGUUUUUGGAAUCGCCGUAAUGAUUAAUAGGGACAGUCGGGGGCAUUAGUACUCACAUGCUAGAGGUGAAAUUCUUGGAUUUUGUGAAGACUAACUUCUGCGAAAGCAUUUGCCAAGGAUGUUUUCAUUAA